RNAcentral lists this ribosomal RNA (440 nucleotides) under uncultured bacterium. RNAcentral describes it as "partial 16S ribosomal RNA". It matches the Rfam family "Bacterial small subunit ribosomal RNA", at positions 338 to 795 of the family's 1533-position model. The record is from RNAcentral.
CCUACGGGAGGCAGCAGUGGGGAAUAUUGCACAAUGGGGGAAACCCUGAUGCAGCGACGCCGCGUGAGUGAAGAAGUAAUUCGUUAUGUAAAGCUCUAUCAGCAGGGAAGAAAAUGACGGUACCUGAGUAAGAAGCACCGGCUAACUACGUGCCAGCAGCCGCGGUAAUACGUAGGGGGCAAGCGUUAUCCGGAUUUACUGGGUGGAAAGGGAGCGUAGACGGCAGUGCAAGUCUGGAGUGAAAGGCGGGGGCUCAACCCCCGGACUGCUCUGGAAACUGUACGGCUGGAGUGCAGGAGAGGUAAGUGGAAUUCCUGGUGUAGCGGUGAAAUGCGUAGAUAUUAGGAGGAACACCAGUGGCGAAGGCGGCUUACUGGACUGUAACUGACGUUGAGGCUCGAAAGCGUGGGGAGCAAACAGGAUUAGAUACCCUAGUAGUC